CAUGCCGUAAACGUUGGGCGCUAGGUGUGGGACUCAUUCCACGAGUUCCGUGCCGCAGCUAACGCAUUAAGCGCCCCGCCUGGGGAGUACGGCCGCAAGGCUAAAACUCAAAGGAAUUGACGGGGGCCCGCACAAGCGGCGGAGCAUGUGGAUUAAUUCGAUGCAACGCGAAGAACCUUACCAAGGCUUGACAUAUACCGGAAACACCUAGAGAUAGGUGCCCCGCAAGGUCGGUAUACAGGUGG
This 245-nucleotide ribosomal RNA is filed under the name uncultured Nostocoides sp. Its description in RNAcentral is "uncultured Tetrasphaera sp. partial 16S ribosomal RNA". It matches the Rfam family "Bacterial small subunit ribosomal RNA", at positions 796 to 1041 of the family's 1533-position model. Lineage: Bacteria; Bacillati; Actinomycetota; Actinomycetes; Micrococcales; Intrasporangiaceae. The record is from RNAcentral.